This 208-nucleotide ribosomal RNA is filed under the name Phaeomonas sp. RCC4482. RNAcentral's name for it is "partial 18S ribosomal RNA". The stretch from base 63 to 208 matches the Rfam family "Eukaryotic small subunit ribosomal RNA", at positions 748 to 893 of the family's 1831-position model. Lineage: Eukaryota; Pinguiophyceae; Pinguiochrysidales; Pinguiochrysidaceae. The record is from RNAcentral.
GCCUACCGCCAUCCUCGGGGGGGCUUCGCGUGGGAUUAGUUUCUCGUGCGUUUGUCGACCCGUCUUUUACUGUGAAAAAAUUAGAGUGUUCAAAGCAGGCUGAGGCCGUUGAAUACAUUAGCAUGGAAUAAUGAGAUAGGACCUUGGCGGUCUAUUUUGUUGGUUUGCACGCCAAGGUAAUGAUUAAUAGGGAUAGUUGGGGGUAUUC